Molecule: ribosomal RNA, 526 nt
Filed under: uncultured bacterium
Lineage: Bacteria
Description: bacterial SSU rRNA
Rfam family: Bacterial small subunit ribosomal RNA
Source: RNAcentral
ACAUCCAGAGAAUUUAGCAGAGAUGCUUUAGUGCCUUCGGGAACUCUGAGACAGGUGCUGCAUGGCUGUCGUCAGCUCGUGUUGUGAAAUGUUGGGUUAAGUCCCGNAACGAGCGCAACCCUUAUCCUUUGUUGCCAGCACGUAAUGGUGGGAACUCAAAGGAGACUGCCGGUGAUAAACCGAAGGAAGGUGGGGAUGACGUCAAGUCAUCAUGGCCCUUACGAGUAGGGCUACACACGUGCUACAAUGGCGCAUACAAAGAGAAGCGACCUCGCGAGAGCAAGCGGACCUCAUAAAGUGCGUCGUAGUCCGGAUUGGAGUCUGCAACUCGACUCCAUGAAGUCGGAAUCGCUAGUAAUCGUAAAUCAGAAUGUUACGGUGAAUACGUUCCCGGGCCUUGUACACACCGCCCGUCACACCAUGGGAGUGGGUUGCAAAAGAAGUAGAUAGCUUAACCUUCGGGAGGGCGUUUACCACUUUGUGAUUCAUGACUGGGGUGAAGUCGUAACAAGGUAAGCGUAGUGCU